RNAcentral lists this ribosomal RNA (497 nucleotides) under uncultured bacterium. RNAcentral's name for it is "partial 16S ribosomal RNA". It matches the Rfam family "Bacterial small subunit ribosomal RNA", at positions 28 to 507 of the family's 1533-position model. The record is from RNAcentral.
GAUGAACGCUGGCGGCGUGCCUAAUACAUGCAAGUCGAGCGAAAAGACGAGGAGCUUGCUCCUCUGACGUUAGCGGCGGACGGGUGAGUAACACGUGGAUAACCUACCUAUAAGACUGGGAUAACUUCGGGAAACCGGAGCUAAUACCGGAUAAUAUAUUGAACCGCAUGGUUCAAUAGUGAAAGACGGUUUUGCUGUCACUUAUAGAUGGAUCCGCGCCGCAUUAGCUAGUUGGUAAGGUAACGGCUUACCAAGGCAACGAUGCGUAGCCGACCUGAGAGGGUGAGCGGCCACACUGGAACUGAGACACGGUCCAGACUCCUACGGGAGGCAGCAGUAGGGAAUCUUCCGCAAUGGGCGAAAGCUUGACGGAGCAACGCCGCGUGAGUGAUGAAGGUCUUCGGAUCGUAAAACUCUGUUAUUAGGGAAGAACAAAUGUGUAAGUAACUAUGCACGUCUUGACGGUACCUAAUCAGAAAGCCACGGCUAACUACGUG